Molecule: ribosomal RNA, 500 nt
Filed under: uncultured bacterium
Lineage: Bacteria
Description: partial 16S ribosomal RNA
Rfam family: Bacterial small subunit ribosomal RNA
Source: RNAcentral
AUUGAACGCUGGCGGCAUGCCUUACACAUGCAAGUCGAACGGCAGCGCGGACUUCGGUCUGGCGGCGAGCGGCGAACGGGUGAGUAAUACAUCGGAACGUACCCUGUUGUGGGGGAUAACGAAGCGAAAGCUUUGCUAAUACCGCAUACGAUCUCAGGAUGAAAGCAGGGGACCGCAAGGCCUUGCGCUCACGGAGCGGCCGAUGGCAGAUUAGGUAGUUGGUGGGAUAAAAGCUUACCAAGCCGACGAUCUGUAGCUGGUCUGAGAGGACGACCAGCCACACUGGGACUGAGACACGGCCCAGACUCCUACGGGAGGCAGCAGUGGGGAAUUUUGGACAAUGGGCGCAAGCCUGAUCCAGCCAUGCCGCGUGCAGGAUGAAGGCCUUCGGGUUGUAAACUGCUUUUGUACGGAACGAAAAGACUCCUUCUAAUAAAGGGGGUCCAUGACGGUACCGUAAGAAUAAGCACCGGCUAACUACGUGCCAGCCGCCGCCGUAA